RNAcentral lists this long non-coding RNA (1590 nucleotides) under Lathyrus oleraceus (garden pea). RNAcentral's name for it is "Pisum sativum (pea) long non-coding RNA (PSAT_LNC025801)". The record is from RNAcentral. Lineage: Eukaryota; Viridiplantae; Streptophyta; Magnoliopsida; Fabales; Fabaceae.
CCAUGGGAUGUGGCACCUAAAAGGUAUAUGGGCUUAGAUAAGAGGCCCAACAUUUCCCCAUCACACAAUCAGGAGGUGAGAAAAGGAAAAGGCGGGUGUGAUUAACGAAGGAAGGCCCAUUAAGGAGGAAAGCCCAAUAUGGUCGAAGUCAAAAUUAGGGGAAUGUUGACUUUCCCAUUGCCAUCAGAUCCGUAUAGUAGUCAACAAAGAUCAAAAGGCUUAGAUGGAGGGCACAUGGUUGGGACUCAUGUACAGAAGUCACUGAGUUAAAGUCCAGUCAACUAAAUCAAGGGCCAUGGAGGAUGCCACAUGGCUCAACCUGAGGGGAAGAGGAUUACGCAUAAAAGAGGGGAUCGGUGGUCCCUCUAUCAUAUCCCAAUUCUACUUCUCUCUCUAAGUAACAUGAAGAAAACUUUUUAUCGCCUCUCUCUAGGAUCCAAACCCCUCAAAUUUCCAGAAAAAACGAAAAACAUGAUGAACAUCUCAAGAACAUCUUGAAUGUUCUUGAGGUGAUUUUCCAGAAACCAUUAAAACUACCCAGACCCUCAUACAAUAAAUACAAACCCUAGCUCAAAUUCAACCUUAACCACAAAUCCACCCUAAAAAAAAGUGCAACAAAUUAAGCGGAUCGAAACAAAGAAAAUAGAUCCCUAAGUUUAAAAAUAUGUCUGAUCUACACAUGUUAAGCAUCAAACACUAUAAUUAAUUUAGGGAAAACAUCUAUGGCAUACGCAGAAGUGUAAAAUCAAACAGAAAGCGUGUUAAAUCAUGCAAUAGGUACCAAAUUGGAGCAAACUACUCUGGUGAAGAACUCCAACAAGCUUUAACUUUCAGGUAGCAUGAUCUUAGCCUUUUAGCUCUCCUUUAUUUCACUUCCUUUACUAUUAUGAUUAUAAUUAUUUCUUCUUCUUCUUCUACUACUUUCCUCUGUUGCUACUGUGCAUUCCAUCAAGCUUUGACUGAGGUUGCUUGAAGGAGUUAAGCUCAGCUUAAUUAGAGCUUCAAUGAGAAGCUCUAAUUGCUACAACAAGGAGCUCUAAAUGAAGGUUUUGGAUUUUAAGGUGUUACAAUUUACUUGUUCAUAGUGUGAAGUUUUGUGUAUUAUUUGUAGGUUUUGAAUUCCCCUUUUGUGUGUGAAUUAGAGCUAGCUUAAAUAGGCAUAGAUUAGGGUAUAGUGUGAGUGUGUGAAAAGUAAUUUCAAGUGUGUGAAAAGUGAUGAAAAUGAGUGAGAAUUUGUGUGAAUUGGAAGAUUUUUUGUGUGAGAGUGUGAUUUUGUUACGAAUCAUGUGAGGAGUAAAAAAAUUGGGAGGGAAAUGUAAAGAUUUGUUGCGAAUUUUGUGGAGAACGGGGAUGUGCAAACCGUGUGUGGUUUGUUAGUGGUCCAUGUGCAAGUUUUAAUUCUCAAAUUGUAAUGUAAUAAUCUUGAAAUUCAAAUGAAAUUCGAAUUAUUAAUUUCAAAUUCUCAUGUUUUUUGUAAUUUGAAUUGAACAUGUUGAAAAGUGCAUGGUUCAAUCUUGUUCAUGUGCAAAAAUCGUGUGGUGAUGUAACAAAUUAAAUGAGGUGAAAUUAAAAUAUUUAUUCAUAUUCAAA